ACACAUGCAAGUCGAACGGCAGCACGGGAGCAAUCCUGGUGGCGAGUGGCGAACGGGUGAGUAAUACAUCGGAACGUGCCCAGUAGUGGGGGAUAACCCGGCGAAAGCCGGACUAAUACCGCAUACGACCUGCGGGUGAAAGCAGGGGAUCGCAAGACCUUGCGCUAUCGGAGCGGCCGAUGUCAGAUUAGCUUGUUGGCGGGGUAAAAGCCCACCAAGGCGACGAUCUGUAGCUGGUCUGAGAGGACGACCAGCCACACUGGGACUGAGACACGGCCCAGACUCCUACGGGAGGCAGCAGUGGGGAAUUUUGGACAAUGGGCGCAAGCCUGAUCCAGCCAUGCCGCGUGCGGGAAGAAGGCCUUCGGGUUGUAAACCGCUUUUGUCAGGGAAGAAACGCUCCGGGUUAAUACCUCGGAGUAAUGACGGUACCUGAAGAAUAAGCACC
RNAcentral lists this ribosomal RNA (448 nucleotides) under grassland soil clone saf2_411. Its description in RNAcentral is "bacterial SSU rRNA". It matches the Rfam family "Bacterial small subunit ribosomal RNA", at positions 51 to 494 of the family's 1533-position model. The record is from RNAcentral.